Long non-coding RNA from Mauremys reevesii (Reeves's turtle), 261 nucleotides. RefSeq lists it as uncharacterized. The record is from RefSeq and is a predicted model, not a curated record. NCBI's taxonomy places the organism in Eukaryota, Metazoa, Chordata, Testudines, Geoemydidae. The transcript has 3 exons.
CCUCAAGAAGCGGCCCCCCAUAUUCUGAGUUAGACCAUGAAAGGACACUCCUGGAGUCUUGUGCUGUGGGAGUCAAGUUAUGACUAAUUAUGUGCUAAUUUUUAACAGGAAAAUAGGAAAGGCCAGAGUGGAACAGACUAGUCCAGUCUCCUGUCACCAACAGUGGCCAGAUGCUCCGAAAGAAGAGUGCUGUAAACAUACAUGAUCCAUGUGAAUAAGAUGAGGUCCCCUGGCUUGAGAAAUGUACAUACAAACUCAGAA